GGAGCUCACCAAACUUCUUCCCCCCUUAGGCAGCUACUGGUCCCUUACAAGUGCCUGUCCUGCGACCGGGACCUCAACAUGCAGGUGCCUGGCCCGCACAUUGACACACUCCCGUUCUAUCCUCCAAUGCCCGUCAGCCACGCUGCACACCCCACUACCAUCAUCACAGAGGAGCAAGCACAACAGCAUGGUUACAGGAAGGUGCCCAAUGGCAGGUCCCACCUCAAGAUGCAGAGUGACAGGGGCCAGUACACAUCCAAUGCACAGCUCAAGGAUGCCCUGUGGCUCUCCAAAAAGGUAGGGAUGGCAAAGGGAAGGAUACGUCAGGGAGCACCAAGGCUGGGAGGGAGAUGCUGAGCAUCUGUGGGGAUUCGUGCCUCAGUUUCCUCAGGGAAAGCUGCAUGGGGAAGGUUACUUGGGGAUGCUGAAUUGGGCUCAACAUUGCAGCCAGCCACUCUCUCCUUCCCAGCCUGGUGUGACCAAGCUGCUGGGCACAGAUGGCUGCAUCAAUCACAGACAGAAGCACAGGCCUAAAGUGGCAGUGAGGGCACAGGACAAGCUGGGUAUGGCCCUGUAGGGCACUGGGGAAGGGGGGAGUGAGUUCCAGCUGUUUGCCAGCAGUGGGUGAGCAGGGCUCUGUGUGCAUGGCUGAGUAGGUGGAACUGUGGUCUGAGGUGGGCUGAGGAGGGGCGGACACAGGAUAGAUGGGGAGGACUGGUGGAUGCGGGUGUUUGAGCUGGAGACCAGUGUGGGGAUGGCCCUGGCCAGUGUGGGACAACAGCCUGUCUUCUGGAGAGCAGGGGCCAGCACUCUGUCCCGCAGGGUCUCUGGCCAGGCAGGUGCCCCUGCUGCCUGUCCUGUCCUGGGCUGGCAGAGCUGCCCCCAGCCAGGGCUGCCCCUGGGCUGCAGGGGGGCUCAUCCCUGUCCCUACCACCCUACUAGAGCACCGGCCAGCCUCUGACCCCCGCCACUGACCCCAGGCACCAUGGCAUUUGCUGCAAAUCCAGUUCCCCCAGAUGAAGCACCUGGACAGCCAGCACCAGGGCUGGGACAGCUGCCCAAAGAAAAGGGAUUUCUUUCCAAGUUAAUAAAAAAUUUAACCAAUUGUUUUUUUGAAUUUUC
This 1122-nucleotide long non-coding RNA is filed under the name Lepidothrix coronata (blue-crowned manakin). Its description in RNAcentral is "lncRNA (ENSLCOG00000003701.1)". The record is from RNAcentral. Lineage: Eukaryota; Metazoa; Chordata; Aves; Passeriformes; Pipridae.